AUUCCCCUAGUAACUGCGAGUGAAGCGGGAAAAGCUCAAAUUUAAAAUCUGGUGGCCUCUGGUCGCUCGAGUUGUAAUUUAGAGAAGCGUCUUCCGCGCUGGACCGUGCACAAGUCUCCUGGAAUGGAGCGUCAUAGAGGGUGAGAAUCCCGUCUUUGGCACGGACGCACCAGGGCUUUUGUGAUGCGCUCUCGAAGAGUCGAGUUGUUUGGGAAUGCAGCUCAAAAUGGGUGGUGAACUCCAUCUAAAGCUAAAUAUUGGCGAGAGACCGAUAGCGAACAAGUACCGUGAGGGAAAGAUGAAAAGCACUUUGGAAAGAGAGUGAAACAGUACGUGAAAUUGUUGAAAGGGAAACGCUUAAAGUCAGUCGCGUCGACCAAGACUCAACCUCGCCUUGGCUUGGUGUACUUCUCGGCCGACGGGUCAGCAUCAAUUUUUCCCUUCGGAUAAUGGCAAGGGAAAGGUAGCACCUUUACGGGUGUGUUAUAGUCUCCUGUCGCAUGCGAGGGGUAGGAUUGAGGAACUCAGCACGCACCUCUUGGUGUCGGGGCCUUGUUGCCCACGCUACGUGCUUAGGAUGCUGGCGUAAUGGCUUUAAACGACCCGUCUUGAAACACGGACCAAGGAGUCUAACAUGCCCGCGAGUGUUCGGGUGGAAAACCCGUGCGCGUAAUGAAAGUGAAAGUUGGGACCUCUGUCGUGGAGGGCACCGACGCCCGGACCAGACCUUCUGUGACGGAUCUGCGGUAGAGCGUGCAUGUUGGGACCCGAAAGAUGGUGAACUAUGCCUGAAUAGGGUGAAGCCAGAGGAAACUCUGGUGGAGGCUCGUAGCGAUUCUGACGUGCAAAUCGAUCGUCAAAUUUGGGUAUA
Molecule: ribosomal RNA, 871 nt
Filed under: Russula polyphylla
Lineage: Eukaryota; Fungi; Basidiomycota; Agaricomycetes; Russulales; Russulaceae
Description: eukaryotic LSU rRNA
Rfam family: Eukaryotic large subunit ribosomal RNA
Source: RNAcentral